This 862-nucleotide ribosomal RNA is filed under the name Helotiales sp. RNAcentral describes it as "partial large subunit ribosomal RNA". It matches the Rfam family "Eukaryotic large subunit ribosomal RNA", at positions 71 to 950 of the family's 3401-position model. Lineage: Eukaryota; Fungi; Ascomycota; Leotiomycetes; Helotiales. The record is from RNAcentral.
GGGAUUGCCUCAGUAACGGCGAGUGAAGCGGCAACAGCUCAAAUUUGAAAUCUGGCUCUUUCAGGGUCCGAGUUGUAAUUUGUAGAAGAUGCUUUGGGUGUGGCUCCGGUCUAAGUUCCUUGGAACAGGACGUCAUAGAGGGUGAGAAUCCCGUACGUGACUGGGUGCCUUCGCUCGUGUAAAGCUCUUUCGACGAGUCGAGUUGUUUGGGAAUGCAGCUCAAAAUGGGUGGUAAAUUUCAUCUAAAGCUAAAUAUUGGCCAGAGACCGAUAGCGCACAAGUAGAGUGAUCGAAAGAUGAAAAGCACUUUGGAAAGAGAGUUAAACAGUACGUGAAAUUGUUGAAAGGGAAGCGCUUGCAACCAGACUUGCGCGCUGUUGAUCAUCCGAGCUUUUGCCCGGUGCACUCGGCAGCGCUCAGGCCAGCAUCGGUUUUGGUGGGCGGAUAAAGGCCUUGGGAAUGUAGCUCUCUUCGGGGAGUGUUAUAGCCCUCGGUGCAAUGCGCCCUACCGGGACCGAGGACCGCGCUUCGGCUAGGAUGCUGGCGUAAUGGUUGUAAGCGACCCGUCUUGAAACACGGACCAAGGAGUCUAACAUCUAUGCGAGUGUUUGGGUGUCAAACCCAUACGCGUAAUGAAAGUGAACGGAGGUGAGAACCCUUAAGGGUGCAUCAUCGACCGAUCCUGAUGUCUUCGGAUGGAUUUGAGUAAGAGCAUAGCUGUUGGGACCCGAAAGAUGGUGAACUAUGCCUGAAUAGGGUGAAGCCAGAGGAAACUCUGGUGGAGGCUCGCAGCGGUUCUGACGUGCAAAUCGAUCGUCAAAUUUGGGUAUAGGGGCGAAAGACUAAUCGAACCAUUGGUAAA